Molecule: non-coding RNA, 84 nt
Filed under: Hordeum vulgare subsp. vulgare (domesticated barley)
Lineage: Eukaryota; Viridiplantae; Streptophyta; Magnoliopsida; Poales; Poaceae
Source: Rfam by way of RNAcentral
CCUGUUGAUGAAGAUGAGAUCAUCUCCCACAUCCUGCACGGCCUGGACUCGGACUACAACUCCUUUGUGUCCGCCAUCUCAACU